RNAcentral lists this ribosomal RNA (452 nucleotides) under uncultured bacterium. Its description in RNAcentral is "SSU rRNA". It matches the Rfam family "Bacterial small subunit ribosomal RNA", at positions 26 to 518 of the family's 1533-position model. The record is from RNAcentral.
AGGAUAAACGCUGGCGGCGUGCCUAACACAUGCAAGUCGAACGUCCUACGCAAGUAGGGAGUGGCGGACGGGUGAGUAACACGUGGGCAAUCUACCUUUCGGUGAGGAAUACCGGCGAGAAAUCGCCGACAAUACCGCAUACGCUUCGCAAGAAGCAAAGUCGCAAGACGCCGGAGGAGGAGCCUGCGCCCGAUUAGCUGGUUGGUGGAGUAAUGGUCUACCAAGGCGACGAUCGGUAGCUGGUCUGAGAGGAUGAUCAGCCACACUGGGAUUGAGAACGGCCCAGACUCCUACGGGAGGCAGCAGUGAGGAAUUUUCCGCAAUGGGCGAAAGCCUGACGGAGCGACGCCGCGUGUGGGAAGAAGGCCUUCGGGUCGUAAACCACUGUCGAAGGGGACGAUAAUGACGGUACCCUUGGAGGAAGCCCCGGCUAACUACGUGCCAGCAGCCGC